AACGAACGCUGGCGGCAUGCCUAACACAUGCGAGUCGAACGAGACCUUCGGGUCUAGUGGCGCACGGGUGCGUAACGCGUGGGAACCUGCCCUUAGGUUCGGAAUAACUCCCCGAAAGGGGUGCUAAUACCGGAUAAUGUCUUCGGACCAAAGAUUUAUCGCCUUUGGAUGGGCCCGCGUUGGAUUAGCUAGUUGGUAGGGUAAAAGCCUACCAAGGCGACGAUCCAUAGCUGGUCUGAGAGGAUGAUCAGCCACACUGGGACUGAGACACGGCCCAGACUCCUACGGGAGGCAGCAGUGGGGAAUAUUGGACAAUGGGCGAAAGCCUGAUCCAGCAAUGCCGCGUGAGUGAUGAAGACCUUAGGGUUGUAAAGCUCUUUUACCCGGGAUGAUAAUGACAGUACCGGAAGAAUAAGCGCCGGCUAACUCCGUG
This 433-nucleotide ribosomal RNA is filed under the name uncultured bacterium. RNAcentral describes it as "partial 16S ribosomal RNA". It matches the Rfam family "Bacterial small subunit ribosomal RNA", at positions 29 to 507 of the family's 1533-position model. The record is from RNAcentral.